Molecule: long non-coding RNA, 119 nt
Organism: Juglans microcarpa x Juglans regia
Lineage: Eukaryota; Viridiplantae; Streptophyta; Magnoliopsida; Fagales; Juglandaceae
Exons: 3
Source: RefSeq, a predicted model, not a curated record
UACCACAUACAACCAUAAAUAUCUCAUUUUGAGUAACCUACUUACUAAGAAGGCAUAACUACCCAUGUUCUAUACCACUUGAAAUUUGAUUCGCUAGUAAAAAUUUUACAGUCAAACCU